Molecule: RNA transcript, 1734 nt
Organism: Myotis lucifugus (little brown bat)
Lineage: Eukaryota; Metazoa; Chordata; Mammalia; Chiroptera; Vespertilionidae
Gene name: ezrin pseudogene
Exons: 1
Source: RefSeq, a predicted model, not a curated record
CCCACCGGAACCGAAAAUGCCAAAGCCGAUCAAUGUCCGAGUCACCACCAUGGAUGCGGAGCUGGAGUUUGCCAUCCAGCGGGACACCACAGGAAACCAGCUUUUUGAUCAGGUGGUGAGGACGAUCGGCCUGCGGGAGGUGUGGUACUUCGGGCUCCAGUACGUAGAUAACAAAGGAUUUCCCACCUGGUUGAAGCUUGAUAAAAAGGUGUCAGCCCAGAAGGUCAGGAAGGAGAAUCCCCUGCAGUUCAAGUUCAGGGCCAAGUUCUACCCCAAGGACGUGUGUGAGGAGCUCAUCCAGGACAUUACGCAGAAGCUCUUCUUCCUCCAAGUGAAGGAGGGCAUUCUGAGCAGUGAGAUCUACUGCCCGCCGGAGACCGCGGUGCUCCUCGGCUCCUACGCCGCGCAGGCCAAGUUCGGAGACUACGACAAAGACCUGCACAAGCCCGGGUACCUCAGCUCCGAGCGGCUGAUCCCCCAGAGAGUCAUGGACCAGCACAAGCUCACCAGGGACCAGUGGGAGGACCGGGUCCAGGUGUGGCACGCCGAGCACCGCGGGAUGCUCAAAGACAGCGCCAUGCUGGAGUACCUGAAGACCGCCCAGGACCUGGAAAUGUACGGGAUCAGCUAUUUUGAGAUAAAAAAUAAGAGAGGAACAGACCUGUGGCUUGGAGUGGAUGCCCUGGGACUCAAUAUUUACGAGAAAGAUCAUAAGUUGACCCCAAAGAUUGGCUUCCUGUGGGGUGAGAUCAGGAACAUCUCCUUCAAUAAAAAGAAGUUUUUCAUCAAGUUCAUCGACAGGAAGGCGCCUGACUUUGUCUUCUACGCCCCCUGCCUGCGCAUCAACAAGCGGAUCGUGCCGCUCUGCAUGGGGAACCAGGAGCUGUACAUGCGCCGCAGGAAGCCUGACACCAUCGAGGUGCAGCAGAUGAAGGCCCAGGCCCGCGAGGAGAAGCACCUGAGGCAGCUGGAGCGGCAGCAGCUGGAAACGGAGAAGAGGCGAGAGGCCGUGGAGAGGGAGAAGGAGCAGAUGAUGCCGGAGAAGGCCGAGAAAGAGCUCUCGGACCAGAACCAGAGGGCCCUGCGGCUGGAGGAGGAGCGGAAGACGGUGGAUCAGAGAAAGAGCCAGGAGCAGCUGGCCGUGGCGCGCAGGCGCAAGGAGGACGAGGUGGAGGAGUGGCAGCACCAGGCCGAGGAAGCCCAGGAUGACCUGGUGAAGACCCAGGAGGAGCUGCAGCUGGUGAUGACGGCGCCGCCCCCUGUGGACGAGCCAGUGGCCUAUCACGUCCGCGAGAACCUGCAGGAGGAGGGCGCGGAGGAUUCGGGCUACAGCGCCGAGCUGUCCAGCGAGGACAUCCUGGACGACCGCCAGGAGGAGAAGCGGGUCACCGAGGCCGAGAAGAACCUGCAGCAGCAGCUGAUGACUCUGUCCAGCGAGCUGUCCCAGGCCAGAGACGAGAACAAGAGGACCCACAACGACAUCAUCCACAAGGAGAACAGGAGGCAAGGCCGCGACAAGUACAAGACGUUGCGGAUCCGGCAGGGCAACACCAAGCAGCGCAUCGACGCGUUCGAGGCCAUGUGAGGCCGCGGGACUGCAGGGCGGCCCGAGCCUGGGCCCCGCGGUCGCACGCGGACUCUGAAACUCUAUUCGUAGCUCUCUAAUCUAGACCCUCCUCGGACCCAGUUCCUUUAAAGAGAGUAGCUGUUUCAGCGGGAAGAUUCUGGGGCUGG